Molecule: ribosomal RNA, 253 nt
Filed under: uncultured bacterium
Lineage: Bacteria
Description: partial 16S ribosomal RNA
Rfam family: Bacterial small subunit ribosomal RNA
Source: RNAcentral
GACGGGGGAUGCAAGUGUUGUCCGGAAUCACUGGGCGUAAAGCGUCUGUAGGUGGUUUAAUAAGUCAACUGUUAAAUCUUGAGGCUCAACCUCGAAAUCGCAGUCGAAACUAUUAGACUAGAGUAUAGUAGGGGUAAAGGGAAUUUCCAGUGGAGCGGUGAAAUGCGUAGAUAUUGGAAAGAACACCGAUGGCGAAGGCACUUUACUGGGCUAUUACUAACACUGAGAGACGAAAGCUAGGGUAGCAAAUGGG